CUCUCCUUCAGCUUCAGCUGCUGGCCCGCAUCCAUGUCCAAAACCCUCUGGGCAUGCUCCAUCUCCGCUGUACACCAGAGAAAUGCAGUCUUGCCGACACCAGACAUCGUCCUCCUCUGGCCCAUGCAGCAAUCACGAGUGUGGGACCUCCGAGACUGCCUGGGAGCACCAAGAACAGAACCCGGGCAGCCGCACCAGGACGGGGAUAUGUGAUGGAGAGUAGGUUACGGCGGACUGGCCCAUACCAACUGGACAGCAACGGGAGGGGGG
Alosa sapidissima (American shad) is the source of this 270-nucleotide long non-coding RNA. RefSeq lists it as uncharacterized. The transcript is spliced from 3 exons. The record is from RefSeq and is a predicted model, not a curated record. Lineage: Eukaryota; Metazoa; Chordata; Actinopteri; Clupeiformes; Clupeidae.